Non-coding RNA from Peromyscus maniculatus bairdii (prairie deer mouse), 1559 nucleotides. NCBI's taxonomy places the organism in Eukaryota, Metazoa, Chordata, Mammalia, Rodentia, Cricetidae. The record is from RefSeq and is a predicted model, not a curated record.
GGCAAGCCGGGCCUGAAACCUCUGAGACCAUGAACCAAGGCAAACUUUUCUUCCUUUCAGAUUGUUCGACUCGGGUGUUUCCUUACCACACAGAAAGCUGACUGGUGAUGGGGAGAGGGGAGGAGAGGAUCUGAAGAAGGAAGGCAGGAUGGGAGAUGCCAGUGGAAGACUCUACCGGAGCCCGAAUGUAGGUAUAUCAUGCAUGCCAGGAAAGCACUCUGCACCAAACUACAGACCCAGCCCUCAAAUGAGCUGAAUUCAAAUCCCAAUUCUCUUCUUCCCAGACAUCUUAGGACAUGGUGCAUGAUAGCUCUGUGACUCAGUUUCUUCAUCUGUAAUGUAGGGGUGAAAUAAAAUGUGCCCACUCACAAAGUCAUUGAAAGAAUGACAAGUUGUAAAGCGUUCAUACAGGACCUGGCACAGCACAGCAGAGCGACACAGCAAAGGAGCAUCCUCAUCCAAGGAGCAUCCUCAUCCAAGGGGCAUCCUCAUCCAAGGGGCAUCCUCAUCCAAGGAGCAUCCUCAUCCAAGGAGCAUCCUCGUCCAAGGAGCAUCCUCAUCCAAGGAGCAUCCUCGUCCAAGGAGCAUCCUCAUCCAAGGAGCAUCCUCAUCCAAGGAGCAUCCUCAUCCAAGGAGCAUCCUCAUCCAAGGAGCAUCCUCAUCCAAGGGUGCAGUUGAAUGUGGGAAAAGGAUGCUUGCGGGCAUUUUUUGUUUUUGUUUCACCUCCAGCUGUGAGCAUUGGCUGGCUACCCAAGGAGCUGUGGAAUCUCUCUUUCUUCUUCCACAGGGUCCGCCCUCCCCGGCACUCUUCGGGCCGGGUUUAAUCACCCUAAGCUUCACAUGGCAGAGAAAAAUAAACUCACAUCCAAGUUUCUGAUUCAGUCCUGGGAAAAAAGCCAUCUGCAAGCACACCUUCAGUGUCAAGGUCGCUGCUUAUCUUAUCAGUAAAAAUGCCAUAAAACUGCGCGGCAAACCUUGACUCAUAGUCAAAGAUAGUCCUCAUAACCUGGAGGGGUGGCUUGCUUUAUGCCUUGAGAGCAAAGAUUAAAGGAAUCAUUUUUGUUCCGGGAAAGCAGAUGAUGCUUUGGCAAGCAAUGAGGAUGAGGAGCACUAAACUUCUGUAAGCAUGGCGGGGACAUGACAAGGAAAGAGACGUACAGGAGGGAGCCAUGGGGGCGGGUUUCCAUACAGGCACGAGACCGGCCACCCUCAACUCCUUCCGGGAUCCAGUCUGAGAAGACACGCCAUGUGGCAGUUCGCUUGUUUCUAGAACUCCACAGAAUCUUCCAGGGCGGUUUCUAUUAUUUUGUCCUUUUUUUUUUUUUUUUUUUAAUCAGAGCUGAGGACCGAACCCAGGGUCUUGCGCUUGCUAGGCAAGCACUCUAUCACUGAACUAAAUCUGAUAUUCGGCACAGAAUCAUCUCCAUCACAGAAAGACAGGUUAUUUUUUUUUCUUUUCAAUGUUGGGAACCAAACUAAGAACCCUGUACCUGUUAGGCAAGUACUCUAUCAGUGCUUUACGUCCUCAGAUCCCUGCCUCCACUGUCUUUUCUUCUCCG